GGCAAUGCCCCGUUUCCCUUUCAGUCAAGGGCCAAACGACCUUUAAGAGAGAAGAGGGUUUCCUCUCUCCAACCCUAGCCGCCUCAUUUGAGUUUCUCUCUCCUUCUUUGCUUUAUUACAAAAAAUGAUGAUAGUGCAGGGGCCACAGGCGUUGCGACAAGCUUGGCAUGGCUAAAUAGGUAGCAUUAAAUGCGACACCACGGGUUUUCACCAAACGCAACCCAAAGGGAGAAGAAUUGAAAUCCGACCGUUCAUGGCAUGAUUGGCAUCAAUCUGGUUCGUCUAUUUCAAAGUGUAAUGAAAUUGCUUGAGUUUUGGUUUAUCCCACAUCGAAAAAAUUAGGGUUUGGGGUAUUUGGGAACUCUAUAAAUAGAAGGCCUUUUUUUUCAUUGUCAGAGAUAGCUUGCAAUCUGAAAAUCUCACUUUUGCAAAAGGAACUCGAAAUACUUGGGGUUUCUAAGUAUUCAAGACCUUUAAUUUUUUUAUUUUUUUUGAGUUCGAGUUUAAGUUUAAAAUUUUUAGUUUUUAUAUUCUUGUGUGGCGAAUAUUGGUUAAUUUGAGCUUCUGGGGGGAACAUUAGGGGUCUUCCAAGUUCCAUCUCGACCUAAGGCUGCAUCAAAAAAAGACUUCCAUUAUCUCGAGGUUCAAAAGAAAGGAAAGACUAAGUUUUGACUAUUGGAGACUUUGUUGUUCGGCUUUCCAGGUAGGUUAUGGCUUACCUUCUGGUUAGACUUCGGUUAGCGAAGCAAAUGUAUAGUCAGUUUAUGUUGGAGAAAACAUGUAAACUUCUGUAUGAAGUUGGGUUGGAUAUUGACUUAUGUUGGGCCUUGUUGUAUGAUUUGGGGGCUAGCCACUUUAUUGUGUUGUCGGCUUACCUUGAUUUAUUUACUUACUGGCCCAUUGCCACAUUGAGACACUGGGUAUUUGUGACUUGUGAUAUAUCAUGACUAUGUUAUUGUUGUGCUAUACUUGAUUAAGACUAGUGAUGAGAAUUGUGAUUCCAUUAUGGUUAUUGUGUGGCCUUAUUAUUGAUAUUACUUGUGUGCCUAUGUGGUACUAUUUGGGAUUGAAUUGGUUAUUGAUAUUACAUUGUAUCGUAUUCAUACUCAUUUCCAUGAUACAUUGAUAUUGCAUGGUUAUGGUACUCAUGAUGAUAAGUAAGAGAGUGUAGCCUCCGAGGUCUUUGCCAGAGAGCAUGAAAGGGAGAUGAGAGUUCGUGAUCCAAGGUCAUUUACCGGAGCGGAAUGAGUGUUGAUAAGAGAUCUUGUUGUUAUCAUCUGUAUACUUGAAUCAUACAUUGAACACUCAUCCUUUAUAUGUAUAUAUAUGACACAUUUGACCGGGGGUGACGAUGUGGCCUAUGUUGUUUUUAAAAAUACUUGGGAGGUGUUAUACUAAUUGCGCGACCAUUCUAUGUUGUGUGACAUGGGAUGGUCAGCAGGAAUGAAGGUUGGAAAGCUCGUCUCUAGGCUGUGUGUUACGGAGCGACAUAGUACAUGGACUUCAAGGAUCCCCCAUGGGUCAUGACUGUCGAGACAUGAUGUUCCGCUCGAGGCAUGUGUGUACACGAUUACCAGGAUAGAUCGACCUCUACUCCUCGUGGUUGAUAUUCGAGGAUUGCUUAUUCGAGUAUUCAGGGUGAGCAUGAGGACGUUCAUUGUCCGGAGAAUCUUCCUUCUAUUAUGUCUUUAUUUCCAUCCUGAGACAUGAUUUUGAGACUAUUUAGGUAUUACUUUUAUUUAGACUUAUAGUAUUUAGUUAGAUGCUCUUGUAUGACUAGACUAGAUACUGGGUGUAUUUCCUUUACUUCCGCAUUUUCUUAAAUUAUUAUCGCAAGAGUUACGUUAUUAUA
This is a long non-coding RNA of Lycium barbarum (goji berry), 1852 nucleotides long. RefSeq lists it as uncharacterized. The record is from RefSeq and is a predicted model, not a curated record. The transcript has 4 exons. Lineage: Eukaryota; Viridiplantae; Streptophyta; Magnoliopsida; Solanales; Solanaceae.